RNAcentral lists this ribosomal RNA (495 nucleotides) under uncultured bacterium. RNAcentral describes it as "partial 16S ribosomal RNA". It matches the Rfam family "Bacterial small subunit ribosomal RNA", at positions 28 to 507 of the family's 1533-position model. The record is from RNAcentral.
GACGAACGCUGGCGGCGUGCCUAAUACAUGCAAGUAGAACGCUGAAGGAGGAGCUUGCUUCUCUGGAUGAGUUGCGAACGGGUGAGUAACGCGUAGGUAACCUGCCUGGUAGUGGGGGAUAACUAUUGGAAACGAUAGCUAAUACCGCAUAAUAGCAGUUGUUGCAUGAUAACUGUUUGAAAGGUGCAAUUGCACCGCUACCAGAUGGACCUGCGUUGUAUUAGCUAGUUGGUGGGGUCACGGCUCACCAAGGCGACGAUACAUAGCCGACCUGAGAGGGGGAGCGGCCACCCUGGGACUGGGACACGGCCCAGACUCCUACGGGAGGCAGCAGUAGGGAAUCUUCGGCAAUGGACGGAAGUCUGACCGAGCAACGCCGCGUGAGUGAAGAAGGUUUUCGGAUCGUGAAGCGCUGUUGUAAGAGAAGAACGAGUGUGAGAGUGGAAAGUUCACACUGUGACGGUAUCUUACCAGAAAGGGACGGCUAACUACGUG